AUUUCUUUGAAAUAAUUAAGAAUGAAACCUGCUCAAUGUAUAAUAAAUAGCCGCAGUAUUUUGACUGUGCAAAGGUAGCAUAAUAAUUAGUCUUGUAAUUUAAGACUGGGAUGAAGGGAUAAACUAAUAAGCCUCUUUUUUAGUUAUAAUUCUUUAACUUUACUUUUUAGUAAAAAGGCUAAAAUGUUUCUUUUAGACAAGAAGACCCUAUAAAACUUUACAUAAAAUGAUUUAAUAAAUUAAUAAUAUGUUUUACUGGGGCGGUAAGAGGAAAAACACCUCCAAAUUUUGAAAACAAAAUUGUUUUAAUACCCAAAAGUUUUGAAUUUUAAAUAAGUUACUUUAGGGAUAACAGCGUAAUAUACUUUGAGAGCCCAAAUCGACAAGUAUGUUUGCGACCUCGAUGUUGGAUUAAAUUUCCCCCUUUGCGCAAGAGCAAAUAAUGGGAGGUCUGUUCGACCUAUAAAAAUUUCCA
This 475-nucleotide ribosomal RNA is filed under the name Centruroides ochraceus. RNAcentral describes it as "partial 16S ribosomal RNA". It matches the Rfam family "Archaeal large subunit ribosomal RNA", at positions 1908 to 2669 of the family's 2987-position model. Lineage: Eukaryota; Metazoa; Arthropoda; Arachnida; Scorpiones; Buthidae. The record is from RNAcentral.